This 253-nucleotide ribosomal RNA is filed under the name uncultured bacterium. RNAcentral's name for it is "partial 16S ribosomal RNA". It matches the Rfam family "Bacterial small subunit ribosomal RNA", at positions 524 to 776 of the family's 1533-position model. The record is from RNAcentral.
UACGAACCGUGCGAACGUUGUUCGGAAUCACUGGGCUUAAAGGGCGCGUAGGCGGGCUGACAAGUCUGGGGUGAAAUACCACGGCUCAACCGUGGAACUGCCUCAGAUACUGUCGGCCUCGAGGGAGGUAGGGGCGUGCGGAACUGUAGGUGGAGCGGUGAAAUGCGUUGAUAUCGACAGGAACUCCGGUGGCGAAAGCGGCGCGCUGGACCGCUUCUGACGCUGAGGCGCGAAAGCUAGGGGAGCAAACGGG